Molecule: ribosomal RNA, 452 nt
Filed under: uncultured bacterium
Lineage: Bacteria
Description: bacterial SSU rRNA
Rfam family: Bacterial small subunit ribosomal RNA
Source: RNAcentral
AUUGAACGCUGGCGGCAUGCCUUACACAUGCAAGUCGAACGGCAGCAUGGAAGAGCUUGCUCUUCUGAUGGCGAGUGGCGAACGGGUGAGUAAAGCAUCGGAACGUACCGUGUAAUGGGGGAUAACGUAGCGAAAGUUACGCUAAUACCGCAUACGACCUGAGGGUGAAAGCAGGGGAUCGCAAGACCUUGCGUUAUACGAGCGGCCGAUGUCAGAUUAGCUAGUUGGUAGGGUAAAGGCCUACCAAGGCGACGAUCUGUAGCGGGUCUGAGAGGAUGAUCCGCCACACUGGGACUGAGACACGGCCCAGACUCCUACGGGAGGCAGCAGUGGGGAAUUUUAGACAAUGGGGGAAACCCUGAUCCAGCCAUGCCGCGUGAGUGAAGAAGGCCUCGGUGUAAGCUCUUCGCCGGAGAAUACGCACAGGCUAAUACUCUGUGUGGAUGACGGUA